CGCGUUGGGCGGUCUCAUGGCUCUGUGUCUUGCUUCAACAGUGUUUGGACGGAACAGACCCGAGGACUCCCUUUCUUCCAACCUCAAACUGCUCUCUGAUUUCUCCACUUGCAAUCUCCGGGACCAAGAUCUCCGAACCAAGAGAAGAUCUCUGCUAUCUCCUGCUACUGGAGCCAGCUAACACCAUUUUUUGUGGUUAGCACCUUACUGCCGAGCAACCAUGAGCUCCCAGAUUCGUCAGAAUUAUUCCACCGAUGUGGAGGCAGCCGUCAACCGCCUGGUCAAUUUGCAUCUGCGGGCCUCCUACACCUACCUCUCUCUGGGCUACUAUUUCGAUCGCGACGAUGUGGCUCUGGAAGGCGUGGGCCACUUCUUCCGCGAAUUGGCUGAGGAGAAGCGCGAGGGCGCCGAGCGUCUCUUGAAGAUGCAAAACCAGCGUGGCGGGCGCGCUCUCUUCCAGGACGUGCAGAAGCCAUCUCAAGAUGAGUGGGGUACAACCCGGGACGCAAUGGAAGCCGCCAUGGCCCUGGAGAAGAGCCUGAACCAGGAUCUUCUGGAUCUUCAUGCUCUGGCUUCUACCCGCACAGACCCCCAUCUCUGUGACUUCCUGGAGAAUCACUUCCUAGAUGAGGAAGUGAAACUCAUCAAGAAGAUGGGUGACCACCUGACCAACUUCCGCAGGCUGGCCAGCCCCCAGGCUGGGCUGGGCGAGUAUCUCUUCGAAAGGCUCACUCUCAAACACGACUAGGAGCCUGCCAAGCCCAGCGACCUCUGAGGAGCCCCUCUCAAAGUGUCAGGGCUUCUGCCUGAGCCUCUCCCUCCAGCCACUAGGCAGCUUUUUAACCAUCCUGGAGUCCUCUCCCAAGCCUUGGACCAAAUGGAAAUAAAGCUUUUUGCAGCA
Molecule: RNA transcript, 901 nt
Organism: Propithecus coquereli (Coquerel's sifaka)
Lineage: Eukaryota; Metazoa; Chordata; Mammalia; Primates; Indriidae
Gene name: ferritin light chain pseudogene
Exons: 1
Source: RefSeq, a predicted model, not a curated record